RNAcentral lists this ribosomal RNA (459 nucleotides) under Nosema bombycis. Its description in RNAcentral is "SSU rRNA". It matches the Rfam family "Microsporidia small subunit ribosomal RNA", at positions 819 to 1311 of the family's 1311-position model. The record is from RNAcentral. Lineage: Eukaryota; Fungi; Microsporidia; Nosematidae.
GCGGCUUAAUUUGACUCAACGCGGGGUAAUUUACCAGGUAUAACAUGGUAUAAUAUUUUAUCAUGAUAGUGGUGCAUGGCCGUUUCCAAUGGAUGCUGUGAAGUAAUGAUUAAUUUCAACAAGAUGUGAGACCCUCAUUUAGACAGAUGUAGUGAUACAUAUGAAGGAGAGGAUUAAAACAGGUCCGUUAUGCCCUAAGAUAAUCUGGGUUGCACGCGCAAUACAAUAAUAUUUGAUAUUAUGAGGGAUAAUAUAAUGUAAGAUAUAUUUGAACAUGGAAUUGCUAGUAAAUUUUAUUUAAUAAGUAGAAUUGAAUGCGUCCCUGUUCUUUGUACACACCGCCCGUCGCUAUCUAAGAUGGUAUUAUCUAUGAACAAAUUUAUAAAGUGAAUAGAUAGUACUAGAUCUGAUAUAAGUCGUAACAUGGUUGCUGUUGGAGAACCAUUAGCAGGAUCAUAA